ACGUACGCUCCUGCGGGAGGCAGCAGUGGGGAAUAUUGGACAAUGGGCGCAAGCCUGAUCCAGCCAUGCCGCGUGAGUGAUGAAGGCCCUAGGGUUGUAAAGCUCUUUCACCGGUGAAGAUAAUGACGGUAACCGGAGAAGAAGCCCCGGCUAACUUCGUGCCAGCAGCCGCGGUAAUACGAAGGGGGCUAGCGUUGUUCGGAUUUACUGGGCGUAAAGCGCACGUAGGCGGACUAUUAAGUCAGGGGUGAAAUUCCGGGGCUCAACCCCGGAACUGCCUUUGAUACUGGUAGUCUUGAGUUCGAGAGAGGUGAGUGGAAUUCCGAGUGUAGAGGUGAAAUUCGUAGAUAUUCGGAGGAACACCAGUGGCGAAGGCGGCUCACUGGCUCGAUACUGACGCUGAGGUGCGAAAGCGUGGGGAGCAAACAGGAUUAGAAACCCCUGUAGUCCC
Molecule: ribosomal RNA, 451 nt
Filed under: uncultured organism
Description: partial 16S ribosomal RNA
Rfam family: Bacterial small subunit ribosomal RNA
Source: RNAcentral